This 512-nucleotide ribosomal RNA is filed under the name uncultured eukaryote. Its description in RNAcentral is "eukaryotic LSU rRNA". It matches the Rfam family "Eukaryotic large subunit ribosomal RNA", at positions 1894 to 2369 of the family's 3401-position model. The record is from RNAcentral.
AACAAGGUAGCACAAGGGAAGUCGGCAAAAUCGAUCGGCAACUUCGGGAUAACGAUUGGCUCUAAGUGCUAGGGUGUUCGGGCUUUAUGAUAAAGCAGUAGACUUGCCAUUGGAGCUGUAAACUUUUUGGCUGCAGCAAUGUAGCUGAUCGUUCGGACUAGUGACUUGUCUUGCUGUGGAAUCGUUUUGCUACGGUAUGCGGUUCGUUCGCGGAUCGUAUUACUUCGGGCAUCGUUUAAUAGCAAACUUAGAACUCGCUGCGUCUAGGGGAAUCCGACUGUCUAAUUAAAACAGAGCUUUGCGAUUGGCCGGAAAACUUGGUGUUGACGCAAAGUGAUUUCUGCCCAGUGCUCUGAAUGUUAACGUGAAGAAAUUCAAAUAAGCGCGGGUAAACGGCGGGAGUAACUAUGACUCUCUUCUGGUAGCCAAAUGCCUCGUCAUCUAAUUAGUGACGCGCAUGAAUGGAUUAACGAGAUUCCCACUGUCCCUGUCUACUAUCUAGCGAAACCACC